AACGAACGCUGGCGGCAUGCCUAACACAUGCAAGUCGAACGAGACCUUCGGGUCUAGUGGCGCACGUGUGCGUAACGCGUUGGAACCUGCCCUUAUGUUCUGAAUAACUCCCCGAAAGGGGUGCUAAUACCUGAUAAUGUCUUCGGACCAAAGAUUUAUCGCCUUUGGAUGGGCCCGCGUUGGUUUAGCUAGUUGGUAGGGUAAAAGCCUGCCAAGGCGAUGAUCCAUAGCUGGUCUGAGAGGAUGAUCAGCCACGAUGGGACUGAGACACGGCCCAGACUCCUACGGGAGGGAGCAGUGGAGAAUAUUGGACAAUGGGCGAAGGCCUGAUCCAGCAAUGCCGCGUGAGUGAUGAAGGCCUUAGGGUUGUAAAGCUCUUUUACACGGGAUGAUAAUGACAGUACCGGGAGAAUAAGCUCCGGCUAACUCCGUG
Molecule: ribosomal RNA, 433 nt
Filed under: uncultured bacterium
Lineage: Bacteria
Description: partial 16S ribosomal RNA
Rfam family: Bacterial small subunit ribosomal RNA
Source: RNAcentral